Molecule: ribosomal RNA, 253 nt
Filed under: uncultured bacterium
Lineage: Bacteria
Description: partial 16S ribosomal RNA
Rfam family: Bacterial small subunit ribosomal RNA
Source: RNAcentral
UACGAAGGGGGCUAGCGUUGCUCGGAAUCACUGGGCGUAAAGGGUGCGUAGGCGGGUCUUUAAGUCAGGGGUGAAAUCCUGGAGCUCAACUCCAGAACUGCCUUUGAUACUGAAGAUCUUGAGUUCGGGAGAGGUGAGUGGAACUGCGAGUGUAGAGGCGAAAUUCGUAGAUAUUCGCAAGAACACCAGUGGCGAAGGCGGCUCACUGGCCCGAUACUGACGCUGAGGCGCGAAAGCGUGGGGAGCAAACAGG